RNAcentral lists this ribosomal RNA (1691 nucleotides) under Cocceupodes sp. FP106. Its description in RNAcentral is "SSU rRNA". It matches the Rfam family "Eukaryotic small subunit ribosomal RNA". Lineage: Eukaryota; Metazoa; Arthropoda; Arachnida; Trombidiformes; Cocceupodidae. The record is from RNAcentral.
GGCUCAUUAAAUCAGUUACGGUUCAUUGGAUAAUAAAUCGUCUACAUGGAUAACUGUGGUAAUUCUAGAGCUAAUACUUGCUAAAAGGGGUGACUCGUAAGGGAAACUUCGCAUAUAUUAGACCAAGACCAAUGGAGUUCUCGUAACUCCUUUGCAUGGUGACUCUGAAUAUACUAGCUGAUCGCACGGCCUAGCGCCGGCGACAAAUCUUUCAAGUGUCUGCCUUAUCAACUGUCGAUGGUAGGUUAUGCGCCUACCAUGGUUGUAACGGGUAACGGGGAAUCAGGGUUCGAUUCCGGAGAGGGAGCCUGAGAAACGGCUACCACAUCCAAGGAAGGCAGCAGGCACGCAAAUUACCCACUCCCGGCACGGGGAGGUAGUGACGAAAAAUAACAAUGCGGGACUCUUAUGAGGCCCCGUAAUUGGAAUGAGAACAAUUUAAAUCCUUUAGCGAGGAUCAAUUGGAGGGCAAGUCUGGUGCCAGCAGCCGCGGUAAUUCCAGCUCCAAUAGCGUAUAUUAAAGUUGCUGCGGUUAAAAAGCUCGUAGUUGGAUCUCAGUCUUCGCUGCUUGGGUCCACCGUGAGGUGGCUACUCGGCAGCGAGACGAAAAAAGCUGAACAAGUCGCUCGGUGCUCUUAACCGGGUGCCGACGACGAUCAGUACGUUUACUUUGAAAAAAUGAGAGUGCUCAAAGCAGGCCUUUAGGCCGGAAUAAUCUUGCAUGGAAUAAUGGAAUAGGACCUCGGUCUUAUUUUGUUGGUCUUCGAGACCUGAGGUAAUGAUUAAGAGGGACAGACGGGGGCAUUCGUAUGGCGGCGCUAGAGGUGAAAUUCUUGGACCGUCGCCAGACGAACUAAAGCGAAAGCAUUUGCCAAGAAUGUUUUCAUUAAUCAAGAACGAAAGUUAGAGGUUCGAAGGCGAUCAGAUACCGCCCUAGUUCUAACCAUAAACGAUGCCAACUAGCGAUCAGCCAGAGUUCGAAAAAUGACUCGGCUGGCAGCUUCCGGGAAACCAAAGUCUUUGGGUUCCGGGGGAAGUAUGGUUGCAAAGCUGAAACUUAAAGGAAUUGACGGAAGGGCACCACCAGGAGUGGAGCCUGCGGCUUAAUUUGACUCAACACGGGAAAACUUACCCGGCCCGGACACUAGAAGGAUUGACAGAUUGAGAGCUCUUUCUUGAUUUAGUGGGUGGUGGUGCAUGGCCGUUCUUAGUUGGUGGAGCGAUUUGUCUGGUUAAUUCCGAUAACGAACGAGACUCUAGCCUACUAAAUAGACCGGGGAGUCCUUGUGCCUCCCCGGGACUUCUUAGAGGGACAAACGGCGAGUAAGCCGAACGAGAGAGAGCAAUAACAGGUCUGUGAUGCCCUUAGAUGUCCGGGGCCGCACGCGCGCUACACUGAAGUGAUCAGCGUGCAUGUGUUCCCUCUCCGUGAGGAGAGGGUAACCCAAGGAACCUUCUUCGUGAUAGGGAUUGAGCAUUGUAAUUAUUGCUCAUGAACGAGGAAUUCCUAGUAGGCGCGAGUCAUUAGCUUGCGCUGAUUACGUCCCUGCCCUUUGUACACACCGCCCGUCGCUACUACCGAUUGAAUGAUAGAGUGAGGUCUUUGGACGAGUUGCCGGAGCUGCCUUCGGGUGGCACUGGAUGUGCUUGAAAGAUGCCCAAACUCGAUCAUUUAGAGGAAGUAAAAGUCG